RNAcentral lists this long non-coding RNA (680 nucleotides) under Pan troglodytes (chimpanzee). Its description in RNAcentral is "long non-coding RNA NONPTRT008532". The record is from RNAcentral. Lineage: Eukaryota; Metazoa; Chordata; Mammalia; Primates; Hominidae.
GGAGAAAUGGCUACGCAGUUGGUUGAGAAAUGUAAUUUGGGGCUUGUGCUGAGGGUACCUGCAUCUCCCUCUUUGUUUGCCUCAGAGAGCUGUCUGAGUCUGUAAAGCCACAUUUCAACAUCUAAAUAUCAUGAAUCUGGAUGGACGCAGUGGCUCACGCCUGUAAUCCCAGCACUGUGGGAAGCCAAGGCAGGAGGAAUGCUUGAGCCCAGGAGUUUGAGACCAGCUUAGGCAACACUACGAAACCCCGUCUCUACAAAAACAUACAAACAUUAGCCAGGCGUAGUGGCAUGCACCAGUAGUCCCAGCUACCUGGGGGGCUGAGGUGGGAACAUGGCUUGAGCCUGAGAGGUGGAGAUUGCAGUGAGCCAAGAUUGUGCCACUGCACUCCAGCCUAGGCAACAGAGUGAGACUGUCUCAAAAAAAUAAAUAGGCCGGGCGCAGUGGCUCAUGCCUGUAAUCCCAGCACUUUGGGAGGCCAAGGCGGGGAGAUCACCUGAAGUCGGGAGUUCCAGACCAGCCUGACCAACAUGGAGAAACCUCAUCUCCACUAAAAAUACAAAAUUAGCCAGGUGUGGUGGCACAUGCCUGUAAUCCCAGCUACUCAGUAGGCUGAGGCAGGAGAAUCACGUAAACCCAGGAGGCAGAAGUUAUGGUGAGCUGACAUCGCACUAUUGCAC